CCAGCCUGACACACAGGGCAGUGGUCUCGCCCUUCAGCAGGCGGACGGCAGAGGCGCAUGUGGUCUGGAAGACGAUGCUAAUUUCCUCCAAGAGGAAAGCCAGCUCCCAACGCUUUCAUCCCAGUGAAAGCCAAGGCAAGGAUUCAGACGGCACGUUCUCAGAAUUGAGGGUUUUGUCAAGAAACACAGGAGCCCAAUGCCACAGGACAUCCGUGCACAAGCACCCCGAGGACCCUGGCUGCCCUUGUCUCAACGUCAGGACCAGGACUUUCCUCCUCAUAAUUUCCUAGGAACAGCGCAUGCUAAGGAAUUCCUGAAAGACCUCCUUCAGGCCGGAGCUCUGAAGUUAUAGUUUGAAAGAAGUUUGGGGAAGAGGAGGAGGCAACCCCUGUAAGCUGCCGUCUAUUCAAACAUUUUCCACUCCCGAGGCCACGUGACACCGUCUCUCCUAACAGCACCUGUCAGGCAUCACCCAGCGAAACCCCAAAGCUGCAUCAAUCAUGGUAAGAAGGAAAGAAAGCGACUUCACCCAAGCCUUAUAUGGCAUCUGCCUUUCAACAAUGAACAGUCCCGCUUCCUGUUGGUGGGUAACCCUGAGCAGCUCGAAAGCACAAUGAUAGGAAGACGCUAAGCGUACAACAACAAACGAAGGAAUAAACAUGCCCAGGUUUCUCUCUAAACCACCGUGUGUGGCUGGCUGGGCUGCGGUGUGUUACUUACAUUGCUAUGCAACGGGGGAAAAAAUAAAGGCGAUUUCAGGGAA
This is a long non-coding RNA of Myotis lucifugus (little brown bat), 763 nucleotides long. RefSeq lists it as uncharacterized. NCBI's taxonomy places the organism in Eukaryota, Metazoa, Chordata, Mammalia, Chiroptera, Vespertilionidae. The transcript has 3 exons. The record is from RefSeq and is a predicted model, not a curated record.